GUGGCGAGUGGCGAACGGGUGAAAUACAUCGGAACGUGCCCAAUCGUGGGGGAUAACGCAGCGAAAGCUGUGCUAAUACCAUACGAUCUACGGAUGAAAGCAGGGGAUCGCAAGACCUUGCGCGAAUGGAGCGGCCGAGCAGAUUAGGUAGUUGGUGAGGUAAAGGCUCACCAAGCCUUCGAUCUGUAGCUGGUCUGAGGACGACCAGCCACACUGGGACUGAGACACGGCCCAGACUCCUACGGGAGGCAGCAGGGGAAUUUUGGACAAUGGGCGAAAGCCUGAUCCAGCCAUGCCGCGUGCAGGAUGAAGCUUCGGGUUGUAAACUGCUUUUGUACGGAACGAAACGGCCUUUUCUAAUAAAGAGGGCAUGACGGUACCGUAAGAAUAAGCACCGGCUAACUACGUGCCAGCAGCCGCGGUAAUACAGGGUGCAAGCGUUAAUCGGAAUUACUGGGCGUAAAGCGUGCGCAGGCGGUUAUGUAACAGUUGUGAAAUCCCCGGGCUCAACCUGGGAACUGCAUCUGUGACUGCAUAGCUAGAGCGGUAGAGGGGGAUGGAAUUCCGCGUGUAGCAGUGAAAUGCGUAGAUAUGCGGAGGAACCGAUGGCGAAGGCAAUCCCCUGGACCUGUACUGACGCUCAUGCACGAAAGCGUGGGGCAAACAGGAUUAGAUACCCUGGUAGUCCACGCCCUAAACGAUGUCAACUGGUUGUUGG
RNAcentral lists this ribosomal RNA (718 nucleotides) under uncultured bacterium. RNAcentral describes it as "bacterial SSU rRNA". It matches the Rfam family "Bacterial small subunit ribosomal RNA", at positions 88 to 826 of the family's 1533-position model. The record is from RNAcentral.